CCAGGCUGGGACCAAGGUGUACCUCUCGGCGGCGCCGCAGUGCCCCUACCCGGACCAGUCCUUGGGGAACGCGCUGCAGACGGGGCUCUUCGACUACGUGUGGGUGCAGUUCUACAACAACCCCAGCUGCGACUACUCGUCGGGGGUCAGCGGCCUGAGCAGCGCAUGGGGGACGUGGACGUCGAGCUUGUCGUCAUCGACCGUCUUCCUGGGGCUGCCGGCCUCGCAGGACGCGGCCGGGAGCGGGUACAUCCCGCCCGACGUCCUCACCUCCCAGGUGCUGCCGGCGAUCAAGACUGCGUCCAACUACGGCGGCAUCAUGCUGUGGAGCAGAUACUACGAUCUCAACAGCGGGUACAGCGCUGCCGUGAGGAACAGUGUUUGAGAUGGCGAUGUACUCACUACCAUAUGUGUGCUUCCGAUUACGAGGUCAUGAAUAAGGCGGGACAGUGAUAGAAAGGUGUUCCAGAUUGAUGUGACGAUGCGUCCCAAUAAAAUAAAGAUUGCGUGUUUUUAUGGAGGCAUUGAGGUGGUCAGAGUAAUAAAUAAUACAUAAGUGAUAUAUCUUAAAUUUAAAUUUAGAUGUGAGCAUCAUAUUUGAGUACACGAGUAUCAUGUCCGUUAUUUAUAGUACUAUUUUUUUUUAUUUUAUAAAAAUAAAAAAAUAUAUAAAGUAUGCUUGACACGUGAAAUAAUUAAAAUAAACCCAUAGACGGACCAAGAAAGGUGGUGUAUCGAUGACAAUUGAUGCAAAUAACAAAUUCAGCAAAUAUUCAUGAAUUGAUGAUGGCUUCGUUAAUUAAGAGACAAGUUUGCAUAUUAUAAACAAGCUGGUUUUUCUCGUUUCUAAUAAAAACAUUCUAUAGGCUGAUCGCAUUGAAAUAAACUUUAUCUUAUAAACAAUGGAAUUAUAUUUUUAAUUAUUUGUUCUGUAAGCUCUUCUUCAUAUAUUCGUUUCUUUGAUCAUGCAAGACGUAGUUUGGUCGGAGAUGACGUACUUUGUCCGCAAAGAAGAAACUCGAGGAUGUGUAGGCCUUCCUUCACCUUUAAAAAAAUGUUCUCGACAUAAUAAAAAUACUUCUAUUUUUAAUAAAGCAUUUUAUACGAGAAAGCUUUCACUAUUAGACUUUUAUUAAAUAGAAAUGAUGCUUCUCUAAUUGGUUUUUACACGAGACAUCCUUUGCCUCUAUCUCUUUGCCUUCGGUCAUUGAAUAUGACCUUUCUAACCAACAUGGAAUGUUGUCUAAUCAUAAUUCCUCAUGCGUUUCUUCCGAAUGGGCCAUAUGCCCCUAAUUUUUGAAUCGAUGUUCAUGUUGGGUUAGGGUCCGAAUAAAUUGAGGUUUACCCAACAAAAUAAUGACUCGUCUAAGUUUGGUCUGUUGCCGUGAAUGUUUCAUGCGACGAAUCAAUUGCAGUGGAUUUGCUUGAAGCUCACCAUAUAUGUUCUUGCUGUCAACCCAGUGCGACGCUCAUUAAUCCUAUAUUAUAGGAGUGAGAAUUAUAUUAUUCCCGGGGAGAUUAUCAUUACCAACGAUAUUGUUGUUUGCUGAGUGUUACAGUUUGAUCUUGUUUUUGAAGACGUAAGGUCAUUUGAGGAUCCCUCGUGGCUGUCUGUCUGGCGAGGGAGCUAGUGUGGCACCGAAGAAUCUGAGAUAGUUUCUAAGGAUUCGAGAUGGACUUCGAUCUUCCCAGGUUCCUGCACAAAGGUUAGUGUCGGGCGGAGUUUCCCGACCUGACUUCUCCGAUGUUCAAAUUAGUUUUGUGGAGUUGUGUGAGGUAUAAAGGGUUUUUGUGAAAAGAGGUCCGACCCUUGGGCAAGCGUCGGGGGUUGGCUUUUAUACCUGGGCGAUCAAGGAGAUCGUUUGUUAAUAUUAUAAUGCCCUCCGCAUAGCAUUUUGUCCAUGUGAAUGAGAGGCCCGAGCGAUCCUCUACAGGUUAUCGUCUACAAAGGCCAACUGAGUGGGGAUAUAUCAGAAGGAUCACCCGGAGACCACUAUUCUUGGUGAUCGACAAAAUUAAUCGGAACGAUCUCCCGUGAACUAUUAUCUAUGAGGGCCGCCAAGUGCCCCACGAUGCUAUCGAGUUGGGAGGUGAUUUACCCUUACCUUCCAUGUCGACAUCUCGGUGGCGAUCAACUAUAAAGCUAGUUUUGUCAAAAUAUUUCCUAUUAGAUAUAUGAACCUGAUGUAAGAUGGGAACCUUUAACUCUAUCGAUAUUUCAUUAUCAUGAACUUACCUUAAUUUAUCUAAACCGUAUAUCACAUUCAUGCAAAGAGUUAAUCUUUCAAUGUGAAAAAAUAGAUAGUGACAUGUGAAUGCACUAUAAUAGUGACUUGGCUUAAAGCAUAAACUAAGAUUGCACUAGCAUCAUCGAAUAAAAUAAUUUAGUGGCAUGCUUUCACUUAUGCUCGAUAGCUUCUUGUUUUCUUUACUAGAACAAAAAUACAUUGCUUUAAAAGUAGCUUCAAGUAGGAAUUGAACUGCUUUAGUAGCUUCAUGUUCGAUCUUAUACAAUGUAUAGACUUGGAGAAAGAAAAACGAGGAUGAUGCAAGCCAAAAUUAACGAACUUUAAAUGAAUAGUCUAAGACAUGAGAGAAUAAAUGAGUUAGAGACCGGCGAAGCACCAUUAAGUGAUGAGAUAAAAAGAGAAUUUUGUAUACGAACAAAUAAAUCAUAACACGUAGCAGAAUUAAAUGAAAAUCAUAGUCAAAUAUAAUAUCAAAAUUUACGUAAAAAAUCUCUCCAACACGAAGGGUAAAAACCAUAGGGUAAGCAAGAGAAAAUCUACUAUAAAAAUAAUGAAUAUACAAAUCUCAGAGUCUUUUGCCCAAAACCCAAGCAACAAUCACAAGAGAAUAACUAUGAUAUAAGGAUUACGUCAUUGUGCAUAAUAUCUAAAAUCUCCUCAAGUGAUCACAACAAGAAUCUACAAUAAAUCUGAUCUAAUAUGAUAUUAUAAUACUUCUUGGAUGAUUGAGAAUAGUCUCUAUAUUGUCCUUGUCUUCUUUCCUUUCCUUCUUCUCUUGUUUUUCUUUCCUCAACUAUCACUGCUGCUUCUCUCUUUUUUACAACCAUCGCUGCCCUCUUUUUUUGCCCUAGAAACCAUACUUCUUGGUUAAAAGAGAAAAGAGUUAAGAUUAAAGUGGGCUGUGAAUAAUUAAAGCCUACUAUGAGUUGAAUAAUGAGUCAUUUGCCCAACAAUCUUCCUCUUCAGCCCAUAAGGGAGGUUGUCUCAUGACUCCUCAAUGUGAAAUCAUACCGACAAACUAUUGGUAAUCUUUUGCCUUUAUUUUGGUAAGGUCUUUAUCAACAUAUUUGCUCUAUUACCAUCUGUAUGAAUUUUCUAAAGUUGUAACUGCUUCUCUUCAAGUAUAUUUCGAAUCCAAUGGUAUCUGACAUCUAUAUGCUUUGACUUGGAUUGAAAAGUUGUGUUCUUACACAAAUAGAUGACGCUAUGACUUUCACAAUACACUACAUAGUUUUUUUUUUUUCGGUCAUAAUUUUUGUAAGAAUUUUUUUAUCCAUAAUAUUUCUUUGCAAACCUCUAUAGUAGUAAUAUAUUCUGCCUCUAUGGCGGAGAGAGCAAUAUACCUUUGCAAUCUGGAUUGCCACGACACAACUCCCCUUGUAAAAGUAAGUACAAAACCUAAUGUAUACUUCAUUGUAUCAAUAUCUAUUGUCGUAUCUGCAUCUGUGUAACCUGUCAAUAUAGAUGGUCCACCUCCAAAGCUUAAAAAAAAUAAUGACUCAUCUAAGUCUGGAUUGUUGCCAUGAAUGUAUCAUGCAACAAAUCAAUUGCAUUAGGUUUGCUCGAAGCCCACCAUAUAUGUUGCUUGAUGUUAGCCCAGUGCAACACUCAUUCAUCCUAAAUUAUAGGUGUGAGAAUUAUAUUAUUCCUCAUGAGAUUGUCAUUAUCAAUUAUAUUGUUGUUGCCUGAGUGUUGUCAAUUGAUAGUCGGUAUGAUUUGGUCUCAUUCUAAAGUUGCAAGGUCAUCCGAGGAUCCCUCGUGGUUGUCUAGCGAGGUGGUUGGUGUGGUGUCGAUGAAUCUAAGGUAGUUUCUGAGGAUCUAGGAUAGACUUUGGUUUUCUUAGUGGGUUUAUGCACAAAGGUUAAUAUCGGGGGGAGUUUCCCGACCCGACUCGAUCUCUCUGAUGUUCAAAUUAGCUUUGUGAAGUUGCGUGGGGUAUAAAGGAUUUUCUUAAAGAGAAGUCCGACCCUUGGACAGCCAUCAGGGGUUGACUUUUAAACCUAGGCGAUCGAGGGGAUCGUUUGUAACUGUUGUAAUGCCCUCCACAUAGCAUUUUGUCCAUGUGAGCGAUAGGCUCGAAUGACCUUUUGCGGGUUGUCGUCCACAAAGGCCGAUUGAGUGGGACAUACCUGAAGGAUCACCCGGGGAUCACCAUCUUUAGUGACCGACAUGAUUUUCCCAAACGACCUCCCGUAUACUAUUGUCCAUAGGAGUUGAUAGGUGCCCCACGAUGGGGUGACAAACCUGACGAUGGAGGCUUGAAUAGCUUGGAGGAUGAGAUGAUCUUGGGGUAAUCAUAGUUUAUGGGCUGGAUUUAGUACUAGACUAGGGUCUUCUAGGAUAUUGAUAAUUGUGAUGGACAAUGAAGAGAGCUAUUGACACAGUCUCGUAGAUCGUAUCCAAAUAGGAGAUUAGAAAAUUAUGCACGUCAAGAUGUGUAGUUGUCAUCUUUAGAUAAUUUAAAAGGGAUGAGUGUUACUUGAUGGUGAUAAGACAUAUGUUGAGAAGUGAUAUAUUCCCUGAGGGGAUAAUAACUAGAGCGUUAGAGGUAGAUGAUAAAGAUAUUUUGAGGAUAGGUAUAUGAGAGAGUAAGGGAGUUGUCAGCUGUAGAAGGAGAGUGGAAGAUGGCUCCAAUGAGGAUCGUAGUGAUUGCUGCAGCAGGUUGAGGUAUCUUCUUCUUCGCCCCUCUAGGAGGUCUCAGAUCCUUAGACAGAGAUAUUUAUCGAAGGAGGCAUUUGGGCGAGCAGAUCUUAAUGGGCUGAAGGUGCGGCCUGGAGGAGCAGUUCUAAUGGCGAAAGGAGAAGUUGAAGGAAGUUUGUUUCUGGAGCGAUUGGGUCUCGAUCGAGGAAAUCUCGCUGAUCAGUUGAGGGAAUUCCUUUCUUCUAACAUGUAUAAAUAGACAUUGUAUUCAACUAAUUGAAGAGUGCUUUGUCAUUACAUUUCAUUUUCUCAUGCUAUCAGAGUUGUAGUGAGCGAACGCUAGCGCAGAGCGACAGAGGGAGAAGAUAGACAGUCGUUGUUCGUUUAGGAGGAAAUCAGUGAUCUGAUCAACAAUCACUAAAGGUGGCAGCACCUGCGCUUCCUUUGGGAGCAUCGUCCGUGGUGAAGAGAGAAGAAAUAGGGAUGCUACACUAAAGGGAAGGGAUCGCCUUGCGCACGAACGCAGAUCAUCAGUCGUCGGUCGCCUUGCACUUGCUUGGGAGGUGGAGACCUUUGACAGGAGAUGUGGCACUUGCGUUUGGAGUAGCAGAGGCAACAACAAGAGCAGAUUCUCGAGUAAGUGACGCAAGCUUCCAUGAUCUUGAUGUCGGUGUAGCAAGAGGAGGCACUCCUCGUGCGCAGCUUGCAAUCUACAAGGUGUGCUGGGGUGCGCGGCUAGCAAUCUACAAGGUGUGCUGGGAUGUCAGGUUUGAGGAUGCUUGGAGUGGCAAAAUUUUGUCCUCUCGAUGAGAAGUAUGCAACAGAAGGCACCGGUGAGCAGCUGAACCGGUGCCGGGUGGUGGGCUCGAAAGGUGCGGGCGUUGGCUUUGCGCUUGCCACCGUUCUCCUCAAAGGCUACACGGAGGCGACCAAUGAGGGCGUCAGGGAGAGCUUUUCUGCCGGAUGAAGAGCCUUGAGGGAGGAAGAAGUGGCAGUAUAAGUUGCCUCAUCUAGACGACCAAGACACACAAUGGAAGCCACCUCGUCUAGGCGACCGGGACCGAUGAUUCGUUGAUGGAGAGGAAGGUAUAGUAGCAGACAAGGUGGAUACGGAGGAUCUCGUUGAUCUACUCCUCAUUGGCCUCGCAAGCAUGAUGUUGUCAUGCUAGUGGCGAUACUGAUAGAAGGUGAGUUAGCUAUCGCUGAACAUCGAGGAAGAGAAGAGAAAUCUUGCUAUAACGCAAGGGCUCUGAUACUGAUAAAAUGAAAUGUAAUGAUAAAGUACACUUCAAUUAGUUGAAUACAAUAUCUAUUUAUACAUGUAAGAAGAGAGGAUUUAUCUGAUCAGUAAAAUUUUCUCGUAUAGUUGAAGAAAUCUUAUCUGUUAUGAGGAUCUUCUAAUAUGUAUAGACUUUAGACGAUGAGAUGAUCUUCUAAUAGAAAGAAAAAUGAGGAUGAUGUGAACUUUAUAUGAAUAGAAUAAGACAUGGAAGAAUAAAUGGGAUGGAGAUUGACGAAAUCUUCACUUGGAUUACCAUCUUAUUCUAAAGACUUGAGCUGGAGGAAAAGGGUCCCAAACCUAACGACACAAUGUCGAUGCCUAUACGUAUUCUCCUCCGUAGAUCAUGACCCACUACCAACUCUUGACCGUGUUGUUCUUGACGAGGACUAGUCAUCAACGAAGCUCCGAGGUCACCCUAAUAUUUUAAGAAGGUUCAGAUGACCUGGGAGACUUCCAUCUCUCUCUGUUUGUGUUGGAAUUCUAAUGUAAACCCUUAUGCCAGGAUUAAUACUUAUAAUAAACCUUACACGAAGUUGGCUCUUUCCUAAUCGCUUAAGGUUUUGAGACUAACUGUAUCUCAAUCAAAAUUCGUAUCGUGAUAUUAAAAUAUAUUCGAGUGUGAAAUUUACAGUCAUAGAGCAAAGAUGAUGAUCCUCGUGAGUUUCUUUGGUCUUAGCUUAGUGGCGAGGAGUCACAAUCGAUUAGGAAAUCCGCUAAGCUGGCGCCGGCCAUUAAUUGACUCAUCGAUGGUGCGUCGACUAUGGAGAAAGACUAACAAGUUCGUGGUCGUUCCCAUGACGCAGCGGAAACCGUGUGCAAGCAGGGUUGAAGAAGGCGAACACGUCUUUCUUCCCCCAUUAAUUUCGCUCACCGCAUGUUGCAAGCCAAAGCUCAAAGGGCUUUACAUGAACAGAGUAUGGCAUUGAAGAAUUAAAGGUGUGGCGAUUAAUAUACUCCAUUAACCUUUUUGUGCUAACUUAGGUUCUGAUGGUGUGACAUGUGAGUAAGGUUCGGAGCCAAUCAAUGUUUACUUUUGACUCCGUCUCAGUCCGAGAUGUUGGGUAGCUGUUAAAGUCAGAUUUGUCGAGUCGAUUGCCUCGGCUAGUCGCUGGUGCAUCGUUUGACUAUGAACACCAACGUCAGCAUUUUCGCCUCCGUCGUUGUCCUUGUCCCACCGCCACCUCUAGGCUGAGUUGUUCCUUGCGAAGACUCGGUCGCAGGACCUUCUCGUAGUUCCCACCGGGGAGACUGACUUCACUUCCAUCCUUCUCUACGUGUUGGAAUUAUACAUCGGAUGCUCAUGCUUCAUUGCGAGGAUGAAUACUGACAAACCGAACACAUCGGCUGCGGUUGUUUAGGAUGAUGACGACCCAUUCAUUCCCAGCAGCCUCAUCUGCACGAGACUUCCUCGGAGUUUCCCUUCUGCAUUACGUCAAUGAAUUCAGUCUCAAAAUCAGUUCAAGAGUACCGGCAUACGCAUUAGAUAGAUCGAAUAGAGUCGGAUGCCCGAAAAGAAUCGAUCUACCGCCAUCCUUAUCUCUGUCCUUGACGAUGUUUGCACAGAGACGACUCGAUCCCUCACAAGUCGACUGUCUCAGUUGGUCGCUGGUGCAUCGACCAUAGAGGAAGACCAAAUAAAUGAAGGCGUGAAUGAGGCGGUGGCAACCGUACGCGAAGCAGACUCGAAGAAGUCUGCUCGCGGCGGAGCGCGCCACAGAAAUAUAAUAGAUUGUAAGAUUUUAUAUACUUCGAGGAUACGUUUCUUCUCAUGCUUAACCUCAAAGAAAGCUGGAAAUCACUUAAGCACAUGAGUUACAAAAAAACACUACAGCAAUACAAAUAAAUUAUACGAUGCAAAGAUGAUGAGUAGAUGAGCGCCUCUUCUAAGAGUCAUCCAACAGUUAGUCAAAGUCUUCAUGUCUUCAUCCCAAAGCGCAGCCUCCCCCUGUCAUCUCCUCUUCUCUGGUGCAGGUCCCAUCCCACCCUCCUUCCCUAUAUAACAUGAACGAGGCCUUCGCCAAUCGUCACAGGCAAUUCACCAUGGCCUCCCGUAACCUCUCCUCCCUCCUCCUCGUCGCCCUCCUCGUCUUCGCCUUCUCUGCCGGCUCCCACGCCGGCAGCAUCGCCGUGUACUGGGGCCAGAACGGCAACGAGGGCGGCCUUGCCGACACCUGCAACUCCGGCAUCUACUCGUACGUGAUGCUGGCUUUCCUCACCACCUUCGGCAACGGGCAAACCCCCGUCCUCAACCUGGCGGGCCACUGCGACCCCCCCUCCGGCACCUGCACCGGCCUCAGCUCCGACAUCCGCGCCUGCCAGUCUCAGGGCAUCAAGGUGCUCCUCUCCCUCGGUGGCGACUCCAGCAGCUACUCCCUGUCCUCCUCCGACGACGCCGCGAGCGUGGCGACGUAUCUGUGGGACAACUACCUCGGCGGCUCGUCCAGCUCGCGCCCGCUGGGCGACGCCGUCCUCGACGGGAUCGACUUCGACAUCGAGCAUGGCGGCCCCGACCACUACGACGAGCUGGCGAAGCAGCUGUCCGACUUGGGCAGCCAGGCGGGGACCAAGGUGUACCUCUCGGCGGCGCCGCAGUGCCCCUUCCCGGACCAGUCCUUGGGGAACGCGCUGCAGACGGGGCUCUUCGACUACGUGUGGGUGCAGUUCUACAACAACCCCAGCUGCGACUACUCGUCGGGGGUCAGCGGCCUGAGCAGCGCAUGGGGGACGUGGACGUCGAGCUUGUCGUCGUCGAUCGUCUUCCUGGGGCUGCCGGCCUCGCCGGACGCGGCCAAUAGCGGGUACAUCCCUCCCGACGACCUCACCUCCCAGGUGCUGCCGGCGAUCAACACUGCGUCCAACUACGGCGGCAUCAUGCUGUGGAGCAGAUACUACGAUCGCAACAGCGGGUACGGCGAGAAAGUGAAGAGCAGUGUUUGAGAUGGCGAUGUACUAACUACUAUAAGUGUGCUUCCGAUUACGAGGUC
Molecule: long non-coding RNA, 9155 nt
Filed under: Musa acuminata (dwarf banana)
Lineage: Eukaryota; Viridiplantae; Streptophyta; Magnoliopsida; Zingiberales; Musaceae
Description: long non-coding RNA (MACU_LNC004843)
Source: RNAcentral